AGGAAACAUGGUUGUUAGAAGGGCUCCUUAUGUUCUUCAGAAGCUACUCAAUCAAUAUAGACCUAAUAUGGGGGUGCCUGGGUGGCUCAGUGGGUUAA
Lontra canadensis (Northern American river otter) is the source of this 98-nucleotide long non-coding RNA. RefSeq lists it as uncharacterized. NCBI's taxonomy places the organism in Eukaryota, Metazoa, Chordata, Mammalia, Carnivora, Mustelidae. The transcript has 3 exons. The record is from RefSeq and is a predicted model, not a curated record.